AUUGAACGCUGGCGGCAUGCUUUACACAUGCAAGUCGGACGGCAGCGGGGUAGUGCUUGCACUACUGCCGGCGAGUGGCGAACGGGUGAGUAAUAUAUUGGAACGUACCGAGUAAUGGGGGAUAACCAAUCGAAAGAUUGGCUAAUACCGCAUACGCUCUGAGGAGGAAAGCAGGGGACCUUCGGGCCUUGCGUUAUUCGAGCGGCCAAUAUCUGAUUAGCUAGUUGGUGGGGUAAGGGCCUACCAAGGCGACGAUCAGUAGCGGGUCUGAGAGGAUGAUCCGCCACACUGGGACUGAGACACGGCCCAGACUCCUACGGGAGGCAGCAGUGGGGAAUUUUGGACAAUGGGCGCAAGCCUGAUCCAGCCAUGCCGCGUGUCUGAAGAAGGCCUUCGGGCUGUAAAGGACUUUUGUUAGGGAAGAAAAAGGAGCGGUUAAUACCCGUUUCUGCUGACGGUACCUAAAGAAUAAGCACCGGCUAACUACGUG
RNAcentral lists this ribosomal RNA (490 nucleotides) under uncultured bacterium. RNAcentral describes it as "partial 16S ribosomal RNA". It matches the Rfam family "Bacterial small subunit ribosomal RNA", at positions 30 to 507 of the family's 1533-position model. The record is from RNAcentral.